UACGAAGGGUGCAAGCGUUACUCGGAAUUACUGGGCGUAAAGCGUGCGUAGGCGGUGGGUUAAGUCAGAUGUGAAAGCCCUGGGCUCAACCUGGGAAUGGCAUUUGAUACUGGAUCACUAGAGUGCGGUAGAGGAUGGCGGAAUUCCCGGUGUAGCAGUGAAAUGCGUAGAGAUCGGGAGGAACAUCUGUGGCGAAGGCGGCCAUCUGGACCAGCACUGACACUGAGGCACGAAAGCGUGGGGAGCAAACGGG
RNAcentral lists this ribosomal RNA (253 nucleotides) under uncultured bacterium. RNAcentral describes it as "partial 16S ribosomal RNA". It matches the Rfam family "Bacterial small subunit ribosomal RNA", at positions 524 to 776 of the family's 1533-position model. The record is from RNAcentral.